AUCUCUUCUCUCAUUAUCGAUCUCAUUAAACUCUCCUAACCCGUAGCCGUCUCUCUCGUUUCUCUUCUCUUCACAACCCACUCCCAUAUCCACACCCACACCCUCGCAGCCCCCACCGGACGACCACACCCACACCCUGGCGGCCCCACCGAACGACCACCCCUUUUCAUCGGAGACCACACCCUUACCGAUGUCUCAUCCUCGGGUAUGAGGAUCUGUGCGUCCCUCCAUCGUUCUCAAUAUUUAGUGGCGUGAUUCACCGAAGAAGGUAUGUGGAUCGUCGACUUCAUUUUUUUGCCGCAAAGGUAAGUUGGUUUCAGAAUAUUUUUUUUGUUAUGCGUUUAUAAUAAUUGGAGAAGUAGGGAAAAAAUAUGAAUAGAAAUAAAAAUUAAUUAUAUUAAUAUCUCCUUCAGUAAUUGAUUGUUCCAAAUUGAAGAGACACCAAUUCUAAUUCUUUAUCAUAGUUGCCAAUAUUAAUCUCUUCUUAUGCAGUUGCACUUUGUAGAAUCGGACUUUCCAUUAUAUUUUCUUGAAUUAAAUCUUAUAUGUUUGUUAUUGUUUUCCUUUAAUUGAAAUUUUCAGACUUCUGUUACGACACGCUUUUGCUAGCUUUUCGAGUUUAAUUAUUCGGUGACUUAUCGUCAUUAUUGUUGUAAUUGUUUUGAAUUCUCAUUCAGGAAAAUUGAUAUUGUUAUAAGCCAGAAAAUGGAGAUCGGUAAAGCGAUAAGAGAAAGUGAUGAUAUAAGAUUGAAUUUUUGUUCUUUUAAAUUUGGUAUUGUUUUUGUUCUUGAUGAUUUUUUUUUGACGAAAUUGCUGAUGGGAGGAAGAAGAUGAUGAUUUUUUCAAAUAGUGGUUUACGUUUCAAAUAACGAGAAGAAGAUGAUUACACGGACUAUGCUCUAGGGUUCAUUCGAGAGAAAAUGGUGUCCUUUAUAGUGGUUUUAUAGCUUCUUUUUUGCAGAAUUUUUUAUGUUUUCUUGUUAGAAUUCAUAGUGAUUUUCGAUGUUUAUAUAGUUGUGUAUAUAAUGUGAUUUUGAUGUUUAUAUAAUUGGUUUAUAUCGAGUGGUUUUCAUGUUUAUAUAGUUGUUUAUACCGAG
This 1097-nucleotide long non-coding RNA is filed under the name Erythranthe guttata (spotted monkey flower). Its description in RNAcentral is "long non-coding RNA (EGUT_LNC001932)". The record is from RNAcentral. Lineage: Eukaryota; Viridiplantae; Streptophyta; Magnoliopsida; Lamiales; Phrymaceae.